RNAcentral lists this ribosomal RNA (237 nucleotides) under Schmidingerella taraikaensis. Its description in RNAcentral is "partial Bacterial large subunit ribosomal RNA". It matches the Rfam family "Bacterial large subunit ribosomal RNA", at positions 1346 to 1688 of the family's 2925-position model. The record is from RNAcentral. Lineage: Eukaryota; Ciliophora; Spirotrichea; Tintinnida; Rhabdonellidae.
CAAGGUUUCCUGCGCAACGUUCAUCGGCGCAGGGUUAGUCGGCCCCUAAGGCGAGGCCGAAAGGCGUAGUCGAUGGGAAUCAGGUUAAUAUUCCUGAGCCUGCUGGAUGUGACGGAGGCCGAAAGCCGUAUCUUCUUAUUGGAUUGAGGAUGCGGCCUGGGACUCCCAGGAAAUAGCACCAGCGUGAAGACCGUACCCCAAACCGACACAGGUGGACUGGUAGAGUAUACCAAGGCG